This is a long non-coding RNA of Helianthus annuus (common sunflower), 1135 nucleotides long. RefSeq lists it as uncharacterized. The transcript has 3 exons. The record is from RefSeq and is a predicted model, not a curated record. Lineage: Eukaryota; Viridiplantae; Streptophyta; Magnoliopsida; Asterales; Asteraceae.
UUUCUUUUCAUCAAUUGCAACAGGGUGUAACCGGCGGCGGCUUCCAAGUAAGGUAUCUUAGUGCCAUCUUUGCUCAAUCUCUGCAACCAUUUCAUCCAUCAAUCUUCGUUAUUUCACGGCUUUAUCGUGUUGCCGCUGUUCGAAACCCUAAUUAGAACAGUUCAAUUCUCGAUCACAUACAUGAUAUAACGAUUUUGUGUUUUCUGAUUUCCGCUAUUUGAUUUGUAUUACUUUUUGAACCAUUGUUGUUAUUCUCAAAGAUUGACGAGUAUUAGCAGGUGUUAGAGCACGAACAUACAUUAGGAAUCCCCAAAAUUCUAGAACAUUUAUUUAUUUUUAAAAUACGAAUGAAAAUUUGGAAAACGUUUUCAAGAGAUGAUUAGAAAAAAAAUAUAUAUAAAUUAAUUAUGGUGGUAGACAGAUGCGUUGGUGAGCUAGAAAAGAUAUAAAUUUUAUAACUCAUUGGUUUCUUUUCUUUAAACGCUAAUCGAUUGUGCUUUGUCGAAGAACUAAAGAUGUCCGGGAAGAGAUUCAUGGUUUCAAUUUUAUCUCCGAAUGUGGAAUUCUUCAUCAAUAUGAGAAAUCUCUCCUCAAUCGCACUGUCAAUGGGUUCUUAAAGGUCAGAGCGGACGGUUUGUGUUCAUAUCUGAUAAUCAUUUCCUCUAAUUUAUUCACUAUUUCAUGUUUUUUCCAUGUCUCAUUUUUCCUAAUCAGAAUGGACGGUUGCUUUUGUCACGUUUUUCCGGGCUUGCGUGGCGGUCGGUCUUCAUCCGAUGAAGAUGGGUGGUCUAUGGUGGCAUUGGGAGGUGGUAGAAGGAGACGUGACUGUGGUUGUUUAGUUGCGGCUAGGGUUUACUUGGAAUUAGGUUUGCUGAGUUUUUUGGAAUGUUGGGCCAUAUUAUGGGCUUGGAUAAUGAUGGCACAAUGAUUGGCACCGAUUAUGAGUUUUGGCCCGAGUCAGGAUUGUUCAUACUCUGUUUCUUUUGGUCCACCAAACAUGCCAGGUAGCAAAGGAUCCAUCAACACCUAUUGAUGAUUAUUGAUGAUGGUUAUUCAAGUGGAGGCUGCCACUAUUUGGACAACCCACCUAAACCAACGAAUGGUUUCUUAUGACAUAAUGUAUGUAAGCUUGGAU